RNAcentral lists this long non-coding RNA (408 nucleotides) under Homo sapiens (human). Its description in RNAcentral is "HSALNT0342137". Lineage: Eukaryota; Metazoa; Chordata; Mammalia; Primates; Hominidae. The record is from RNAcentral.
CGGUGAGUGUUACAGCUCUAUUAGAAGCCGUGGGUCACAGAAGAGAACCGUGGAACCUAGAGACCAGUGUUCAGCUCGAUUGGGACGAACCUGGGCACUUAGCCGUGCAGAAACAAUGGCGAGCCUUUAGCCGGAUCGGGAGCAGUAAUGGGUGCCUCCAUGGACAGCGGACACCCUGCCGGAUCCAGAGGGGUGGAAGUCAGCGGCGGGUCUGCGAUGUGGGCAAACAACAGUGGUGGACAGAUUGUGGAUUUCUUAUUUCAUGAGCUGGACACAAUUUCUCAUGACAUUAUGCACCUGGCUCCAAUGCUGCUAUUAUUAUAAUGUACUCUUUAUGUAUGAUAUUUUCACAAUUAAACAAAAUCAUUUUUGAUAUUUUUGCUUGUGAUUAAAAUAGAACUUAUAUUG